This 486-nucleotide ribosomal RNA is filed under the name uncultured Helotiales. RNAcentral's name for it is "eukaryotic LSU rRNA". The stretch from base 135 to 288 matches the Rfam family "5.8S ribosomal RNA". Lineage: Eukaryota; Fungi; Ascomycota; Leotiomycetes; Helotiales. The record is from RNAcentral.
GCACAACCCUCUGCAUACCUCUCCAGGUUGCUUCGGCGAACCGAUGGGCACACCCAUCGCUGGCUUUGGCCAGCCUCGUCAGAGAAGACCAUAAACUCUCUCAAUCAGUUGUCUGAGUAGAACACAAUAGUCCAAACUUUCAACAACGGAUCUCUUGGUUCCGGCAUCGAUGAAGAACGCAGCGAAAUGCGAUAAGUAAUGUGAAUUGCAGAAUUCAGUGAAUCAUCGAAUCUUUGAACGCACAUUGCGCCCCUUGGUAUCCCAAGGGGCAUGCCUUUACGAGCGUCAUUAUAGCGUCAAGCACUGCUUGGUCUUGGGGUCGCAUUCUGGAGCGACCCUAGAAACCAGUGGCGGUCCCUCCGGGGCUCAAGCGUCGUAACACAAUUGCGCUAUGCUCCAGGAGCUGUGAUCAGCCAGACCACACCCCCAUACACCGUUGACCUCGGAUUAGGUAGGGAUACCCGCUGAACUUAAGCAUAUCAAUAA